Molecule: long non-coding RNA, 874 nt
Organism: Pongo pygmaeus (Bornean orangutan)
Lineage: Eukaryota; Metazoa; Chordata; Mammalia; Primates; Hominidae
Exons: 4
Source: RefSeq, a predicted model, not a curated record
GUGCGGAGCCGCGCGAGGUCUCUCUAUCGACCUACAGUUCUCAUUCUGUUUUGCCAAGUGUACGCCAAGAAGGACACGGCGCCGGCGCCGCGUAAAAGCAGGAACGAUGUCUCCUUGGCUGAACAGGAGCACAAACUGUUCUGACAGGGUUAUGUGGAUGGAAAGACGUUUCUUCUUCAAACUCAGAGGUAUGAGGGGGAAGUGAGGGAUCAGAUCAGUGGCUGGACAUGCCACGGGACCCCAGCCUGCACUGCCAUGUGACUUCAACCGCAUGAGAGACCCUGGGCCCAGAGCACCCCUACUCAUGAGCAAAAUAGACAGACUUUCCUGAGAUACUGCUGUGCACACAUCUCUGACGAUGGUCCCAACCGAAUGUGCAUGGAUCCAUGCGGUGCAGCUCAUCCAAAUUGUUGUCUUUGAAAGUUCUUAAGAACUGAAGCAUAAGACUUCCCACAGGACUCUGAGAAGUGGUGUUGCCACAGGCAAAGUGUCUAUGUCCGACAAACCCCAACUCUGGGGGGCCUGUGAGGAAAUGGAGACUUUCAUUCCCAGAAGGUGGAGCUGUACAUUGGUACAACCUCUUUGGAGAGCAAUUGGACAGCAUCAACAAGUUUAAGAAUUGCAUACUCCAUGUUCUACAAUUCCCCUUUUCGGUAUAACCCUGAGGAAAUUUUCCACCUGUGGACAAGGAAACAGGCAUAGAGACGUUUGAACAGCAGCGUUGAUGUUGGCCUCUGCCUGGGGCUCUUCCUCACAUGUACACUGAGCUGAUUCUUUAUCUCCUUCAAGCCUUUGCUCAAAGAUGCCUUCUCAGUGGUGUCUGCCCUGACCCCUAUCCCCCAACUGAAAUGGGAGCCUGUUUCCCUCUGCAUAU